CUGAUCUAAACUAAUCAGCCCCAAAUUAACACCAUGGCUUCCCCUAACAACCCUUGUUAUGGAUCUGAAGUUAGUUUAGUUCGAAUCAGCUUUGAACUUCUCGAAUCUUCUUUUGAAGAUUCGGACCAAACAAGAACAAACUCAGAUUCGUUUCAAAUUAACACCAAAUGACCCCUAGGCUACCCUCACCCUUGUAUCAUGUUUGGUUCCCUUCGAAUCUGCCCUGAAAUGUUCGGAUUUAAGAUCCAAGAACCUGAAACCCUAAAAAAUACCAAACUUUUGGAUUUCGUGCAUAUUAAAUGAAGAUUGAGGUUUAAUCGACCUUAGUCGAAGUAUUUUCAGUGGAAAAUACUUCGACUAAGGUCAGUUUGAUUUCAAACAAAAAAUCCGAAGUCCAAGUUGAGUUCGAGUCGGAAUAAAAUUGAAGAUUCAAAGGUAUUUUUUCUAUUUAUUUUGUGUAUUAUACAUGUAUUUUUGUGUUUGUUUUAGUCUGUGUAAUUUUCCCAUCUUUUAUUAUCAUACUGUCUCCUACCCGUCUACCUGAUUUUAAACGUGAAUUGUUUCUGUAAUUUUCCCAUCUUUUAUUAUCAUACUGUCUCCUACCCGUCUACCUGAUUUUAAACGUGAAUUGUUUCUGUUGAUUGUGCUUAGUUACAAUGUAUGUAAUCGACUCGAUCAAGUUCGUCGAUUAGUUAUAUUAUGAAUU
This 706-nucleotide long non-coding RNA is filed under the name Nicotiana tabacum (common tobacco). RNAcentral describes it as "long non-coding RNA (NTAB_LNC009028)". The record is from RNAcentral. Lineage: Eukaryota; Viridiplantae; Streptophyta; Magnoliopsida; Solanales; Solanaceae.